AGGCGGUAUUCUUGGAAGCUGCACUAGAAAUUGUGUUAAAUUCUAAUAUAGAUUUUAGAAUGCACACUCUGCUCAGAGCCUAAAGGACCGAGACAGAAGG
Molecule: non-coding RNA, 100 nt
Filed under: uncultured Paenibacillus sp.
Lineage: Bacteria; Bacillati; Bacillota; Bacilli; Caryophanales; Paenibacillaceae
Description: pan motif
Rfam family: pan motif
Source: RNAcentral